GGUAUAGCUCAGUGGUAGAGCAUGUGUUUAUCAUGCACAAGGCCCUGUGUUUGAUCCCCAGUACC
This 65-nucleotide transfer RNA is filed under the name Fukomys damarensis (Damara mole-rat). It matches the Rfam family "tRNA". Rfam says of the family: Transfer RNA (tRNA) molecules are approximately 80 nucleotides in length. Their secondary structure includes four short double-helical elements and three loops (D, anti-codon, and T loops). Lineage: Eukaryota; Metazoa; Chordata; Mammalia; Rodentia; Bathyergidae. The record is from Rfam by way of RNAcentral.